UUCGGCAAUCUGGGCGAAAGCUGGGACCUCCCGCAAGGGACCGUUGCACAGGUGGUGCAUGGCUGUCGUCAGCUCGUGCCGUGAGGUGUUGGGUUUAAGUCCCGCAACGAGCGCAACCCCUGUCCUUAGUUGAAUGUUCUAGGGAGACUGCCGGGCGAAACCCGGAGGAAGGUGGGGAUGACGUCAAGUCAGCAUGCCCUUUAUGUCCAGGGCUACACACACGCUACAAUGGCCGGUACAACGGGCUCCGACACGGCGACGUGAAGGUAAUCCCUUAAAACCGGUCUCAGUUCGGAUUGUAGGCUGCAACUCGCCUGCAUGAAGUCGGAGUUGCUAGUAACCGCCGGUCAGCACACGGCGGUGAAUACGUUCCCGGGCCUUGCACUCACCGCCCGUCACACCACCCGAGUCUGGUGCUCCCGAAGUCGCUGGCCGAACCCGCAAGGGACGGAGGUGCCGAAGGAGUGCCCGGUGAGGGGGGUGAAGUCGUAACAAGGUAACCGUA
RNAcentral lists this ribosomal RNA (505 nucleotides) under uncultured endophytic bacterium. Its description in RNAcentral is "bacterial SSU rRNA". It matches the Rfam family "Bacterial small subunit ribosomal RNA", at positions 989 to 1504 of the family's 1533-position model. The record is from RNAcentral.